CGUGUUCUAAGUUAAAAGAGAAGACAAAAAUUGGCAAACUCAUUAUUACAUUGGGUAAGAAACAAAAAAGAAAGAAUGAGUCUUCAGAUGAAAUAUCUGAUGCAGAACAGAUGCCACAGCAUACAUUAAAAGAUCAAGACUCUCAACUUCUUAUCCAAUGGGAGAGUAGUGGCUCAAGGCUCCUGGGCUGCUGCAAGAGUUGAGAAAAGAAGAUCAAAUCGACAAAUUAAAAGAAAAAAAUA
This 242-nucleotide small RNA is filed under the name Pongo abelii (Sumatran orangutan). RNAcentral's name for it is "processed transcript". Lineage: Eukaryota; Metazoa; Chordata; Mammalia; Primates; Hominidae. The record is from RNAcentral.